This is a long non-coding RNA of Cervus elaphus (red deer), 454 nucleotides long. RefSeq lists it as uncharacterized. Lineage: Eukaryota; Metazoa; Chordata; Mammalia; Artiodactyla; Cervidae. The record is from RefSeq and is a predicted model, not a curated record. The transcript is spliced from 3 exons.
GGCCUUUCCCACAGGCAUUUUCCUCAGGCGUUUCCCACCACAAUCUCCUCCCGCCCGUCCCCUCGGUCCAUCUCUCUGCCGUCAACAGCAGCCCUCUCCCUGAGAUUGCUCCACAAACGCUACACUCCAGCUCCCAGCUGCUGCGUCUUCUAGGGAACCAGCAUCCCUGUCUGGGAUGACCUUCCCAGAUGGAUCAGCCAUAAAGAAUUUGCCUGAAAUGCAGGAGAUGUGGGUUCGCUCCCUGUCAGGAAGAUCCCCUGGAGGAAGGCACUGUAACCCACUCCAGUAUUCUUGCCUGGAGAAUCCUGUGAAUAGAGGAAUCUAGUGGGCUACAGUCCAUAAAGUCGCAAAGAGUUGGACACAACUGAAGCAGCUGGGCACACAUGCAGACUUCAGGUGACUCUACCGGUAAAGAAUCCACCUGCCAAUGCAGAAGACACAGAGAUAUAGGUUU